Molecule: non-coding RNA, 75 nt
Organism: Heligmosomoides polygyrus
Lineage: Eukaryota; Metazoa; Nematoda; Chromadorea; Rhabditida; Heligmosomidae
Source: Rfam
GCGCCGGUGGUGUAAUGGCGUAAAGCAUUUCCGCCCGGUCAGCAGAAGGUGCGUGUUCGAAUCCCGCCUGGUGCU